RNAcentral lists this ribosomal RNA (447 nucleotides) under uncultured bacterium. RNAcentral's name for it is "partial 16S ribosomal RNA". It matches the Rfam family "Bacterial small subunit ribosomal RNA", at positions 328 to 792 of the family's 1533-position model. The record is from RNAcentral.
UCGCCAGACUCCUACGGGAGGCAGCAGUGGGGAAUAUUGCACAAUGGGGGGAACCCUGAUGCAGCGACGCCGCGUGGGUGAAGAAGUCAUUCGUGACGUAAAGCCCUAUCAGCAGGGAAGAAAAUGACGGUACCUGACUAAGAAGCCCCGGCUAACUACGUGCCAGCAGCCGCGGUAAUACGUAGGGGGCAAGCGUUAUCCGGAUUUACUGGGUGUAAAGGGGGCGCAGACGGCGAUGCAGGCCAGGAGUGAAAGCCCGGGGCCCAACCCCGGGACUGCUCUUGGAACUGCGUGGCUGGAGUGCAGGAGGGGCAGGCGGAAUUCCUGGUGUAGCGGUGAAAUGCGUAGAUAUUAGGAGGAACACCAGUGGCGAAGGCGGCUUACUGGACGAUGACUGACGCUGAGGCUCGAAAGCGUGGGGAGCAAACAGGAUUAGAUACCCUAGUA